RNAcentral lists this ribosomal RNA (637 nucleotides) under uncultured bacterium. Its description in RNAcentral is "bacterial SSU rRNA". It matches the Rfam family "Bacterial small subunit ribosomal RNA", at positions 202 to 842 of the family's 1533-position model. The record is from RNAcentral.
UAAAGAUUCAUCGCUGAUAGAUAGGCAUGCGUUCCAUUAGGCAGUUGGCGGGGUAACGGCCCACCAAACCGACGAUGGAUAGGGGUUCUGAGAGGAAGGUCCCCCACAUUGGUACUGAGACACGGACCAAACUCCUACGGGAGGCAGCAGUGAGGAAUAUUGGUCAAUGGGCGUAAGCCUGAGCCAGCCAAGUCGCGUGAGGGAUGAAGGUUCUAUGGAUCGUAAACCUCUUUUAUAAGGGAAUAAAGUGUGGGACGUGUCCUAUUUUGUAUGUACCUUAUGAAUAAGGAUCGGCUAACUCCGUGCCAGCAGCCGCGGUAAUACGGAGGAUCCGAGCGUUAUCCGGAUUUAUUGGGUUUAAAGGGUGCGUAGGCGGCCUUUUAAGUCAGCGGUGAAAGUCUGUGGCUCAACCAUAGAAUUGCCGUUGAAACUGGGGGGCUUGAGUAUGUUUGAGGCAGGCGGAAUGCGUGGUGUAGCGGUGAAAUGCUUAGAUAUCACGCAGAACCCCGAUUGCGAAGGCAGCCUGCCAAGCCAUGACUGACGCUGAUGCACGAAAGCGUGGGGAUCAAACAGGAUUAGAUACCCUGGUAGUCCACGCAGUAAACGAUGAUCACUAGCUGUUUGCGAUACAGUGUAA